GAAGUGUUAGCUUAAGUUAAGAGUAUAAAAUUUUUAAUUUUAUGGUGUAGUUCACACUUUA
This is a transfer RNA of 61 nucleotides. It matches the Rfam family "tRNA". From Rfam's summary of the family: Transfer RNA (tRNA) molecules are approximately 80 nucleotides in length. Their secondary structure includes four short double-helical elements and three loops (D, anti-codon, and T loops).